This 1233-nucleotide ribosomal RNA is filed under the name Triticum aestivum (bread wheat). RNAcentral's name for it is "partial small subunit ribosomal RNA". The record is from RNAcentral. Lineage: Eukaryota; Viridiplantae; Streptophyta; Magnoliopsida; Poales; Poaceae.
AUGACUCCAAAAUGGAGUGAGUGCCCUUCAAAUAGUCACAGAGAACUAUCUUUGCAUGAAAAUGAAAAUAAGAAUGGCAAUGUUUAUAAAAGGAGAAAGAUGGAUAAAGAUUCAAAUUCACUUGUAGCAAAUGAAGAAGUUAAAGAACUGACAAUUCAAAGUUGCACUACCUCUGAAGAUCACUCUUCACUACUGCUCCCUGUUAUUAAUCCCUCAUAUCCAGUAUUUUCAAAUUUGAUGGCAGGUAAGAUAGACCCUGUCCUAGAGCUUGAAGAGCCUGCUGGAGUUCCAUUGGAGCCAAAUUCUGGUGUGAACGAAAGAUGUUCAGUGUCAAGUAUGCCACCAUCUUCCGUGAUACUAGACAAAAAGGAUGCUUCUGUAUGGUCCUCAUCAAAUAUACGCCCUACAGAACCGACAACAGAGCUCACAUCAGCAAGGGAUCUAUGCAUUGCUAUACUGAGAAAAGAUGGACUCAUAACUGAGUCACAAACUAAAAUCAUUUCAGAGGAAUCCACUGAUUGUAAUGCCAACCACUUGGUGACAUGCAAUGCUUGUGGAAGCUUGGAUGUUCCACUAAAGAUGCUUAUAUGUGAUUCUUGUGAAGCAGCAUUCCAUUUGCCUUGUUGCAUCCCUUGUAUUAAGGUGGUACCAGCUGGUGAAUGGUAUUGUCAGCCAUGCUUGAAGAAGAAACCUAAGAGUCUUUAUGGUCAACUAUUAGAGGGCAAGGUCAGGUCUUCCGGGAAUAUGGACCAAAGGCCUCAUGGCAUGAGUCAUAUAGAGUACAUGUUCAAAGAUGUCGAAUCAUACGUUACUGGGGUUCGACUUGGUGGAGAUUUCCAAGCUGAAGUGCCAGAAUGGUAUGGUCCCAUUUCCAGCGAUGGUUAUUUCACAGCGCCCUCUGAAUUUGAUCCUGCUGAACUCAUGAAACUGAAUUUCUGUUCAAAGAAUAAUCAGAACAAAUCUUCAAGUUCAACUGGUAAUUGGGUACAAUGCCGUGAGGUCUUGAGCACAGGAGAUCCUAACAAGCCAGUAAUCUGCGGCAAGUGGAGAAGGGCACCCCUAUAUGUUAGUCAGUCAGAUGAUUGGGAUUGUUUUUGUUGUCUUCUCUGGGAUCCAGCUCAUGCUGAUUGUGCUGUUCCACAGGAGUUGGAUACAGAUGAAGUCUUAAAGCAGCUAAAAUAUGUAAAUGCGGUGAAGAAUCGUCUGACUGACCGUAAGCAUAAGCCUGCUUAA